CAAUAGCGUAUAUUAAAGUUGUUGCGGUUAAAAAGCUCGUAGUUGGAUUUCUGCCGAGGACGACCGGUCCGCCCUCUGGGUGUGUAUCUGGUUUGGCCUGGGCAUCUUCUUGGAGAACGUAGCUGCACUUGACUGUGUGGUGCGGUGUCCAGGACUUUUACUUUGAGGAAAUUAGAGUGUUUCAAGCGGGCACACGCCUUGAAUACAUUAGCAUGGAAUAAUAAGAUAGGACCUCGGUUCUAUUUUGUUGGUUUCUAGAGCUGAGGUAAUGAUUAAUAGGGAUAGUUGGGGGCAUUCGUAUUUAACUGUCAGAGGUGAAAUUCUUGGAUUUACUGAAGACUAACUACUGCGAAAGCAUUUGCCAAGGAUGUUUUCAUUAA
Molecule: ribosomal RNA, 380 nt
Filed under: uncultured eukaryote
Lineage: Eukaryota
Description: partial 18S ribosomal RNA
Rfam family: Eukaryotic small subunit ribosomal RNA
Source: RNAcentral